GAUCACAAUGGAUAGUGCGUUGGACUUCUAAUCCAAAGGGCGUGGGUUCAAUUACCACCU
This 60-nucleotide transfer RNA is filed under the name Trichonephila clavata. RNAcentral's name for it is "tRNA-Arg". It matches the Rfam family "tRNA", at positions 9 to 63 of the family's 71-position model. Rfam says of the family: Transfer RNA (tRNA) molecules are approximately 80 nucleotides in length. Their secondary structure includes four short double-helical elements and three loops (D, anti-codon, and T loops). The record is from RNAcentral. Lineage: Eukaryota; Metazoa; Arthropoda; Arachnida; Araneae; Nephilidae.